GAUAGUCUUGAAUUCUGUGUAAUGGCAUCUUUGUACAAGUGAAAGUUCAACAAUUCUACUUUGGAAUUAUCUAAUGGUGAAGAAAUUCUCAGAUUCAAAGCACAGCAUGUCGCAAAAGGGCCUGAUCCUCAGCCUGAGGCUGAUGAAGAAAACACAUGGAACAGGGUCAUGACAGCCAGCCUACUAUCACGGCCUCUGUUUGGAGGGACUGUGUUCGCUGUGCUUUGUUGCAUCUUUAGUGUCCUGUGAGACGUGGCAUUUUAGAAAUAAUAGCAAG
Non-coding RNA from Castor canadensis (American beaver), 277 nucleotides. NCBI's taxonomy places the organism in Eukaryota, Metazoa, Chordata, Mammalia, Rodentia, Castoridae. The record is from RefSeq and is a predicted model, not a curated record.